Molecule: long non-coding RNA, 1823 nt
Organism: Trematomus bernacchii (emerald rockcod)
Lineage: Eukaryota; Metazoa; Chordata; Actinopteri; Perciformes; Nototheniidae
Exons: 3
Source: RefSeq, a predicted model, not a curated record
AAUGAAGGCUCGAUAAUCAGCUCACGACAUAUAGGUGUGUCGUGUGUGUACAGAGUUAUAAAGGUUGGUAUAAAAUCCUUGUUAAAUCGGAGAAUUAAUUCGGGUUACGCCAGAGGUGGCGAUAUAUGCUCCAAGUGGAAGCGAUUCGCCAUUAAAUAAAAGAAGAAGAAGAAGAAUUACGCCAUCUGGUGUCACAAACAAACGUGUGCCUGCAUUAGCUUUGUUACGGCAAUGGAUUGUGGGAGAUUCUCAUAACAUGUGAGGAUCUCUCGAGGGUAAGGUGCCUGUAUUAUUUUGGUGGACAAAAUGUAUGUUUUUAUUUUAUAAGGACUAUAACGUUUUGUUGUGUUUGUUUAGUUUAAUGUUAAUCGUUUAAUGCUCACACAGCAGCAUGUUUUUUGUGUGUUUGGCUAUUGGUUUUAUAUGAUUUAUCAACGUGAUCAUCAAUAGCUAAUCUGAGCUAAUAAGCUAAUGGGAGAGCUGCUCCACACGAUGCCUCGACUACAAAGUCUUCCAUGUUUCUACGCUUCUUCCUCUGUGUCACAGUUUCGGGAAUAUCAAGAUCAUUGCACAGGGCCUUGGUCUUGCUUUCUCGUCACUUCUGUAACUUUUCAGUGUGUUCUCAACUGCUGUUUUGUAAUUUACUGCCUGCACCAAGUCAAUUGUUUCUUUCUGCAGGUAUUUGUGCAGGCCCUGAGUGGUUGAGAGCAGUGUCUGGAACAGGACAAGCAUGUAGAUGGUACUGCAUUUGCAAAACUUGCUUUCCAGCCCCUUUGCCAGAGGGGCUGAAAGGCUCCCUAAAGUCUUGAUCAAAGCAGGGAGGUUUUUGACAUGCCCAGCGAACAAGUUAUUUGUCCCCUACCUCUAGCUGUUUCUGAAAUGUUUGCAAUCUCUAAUGGUGGAGAAGAAAGAGUAGAGACACUCCAGGAGAUCAACGCAGGAAAGUAAUCACCAACUGUGAGUGAUCUGUUGCCGAGGGGACACUACACCGGAGUUACAUAAGCAGAGGUGGAAGUGUUAGGCUAAAUCGCCUUGGUUUGACCUUCGCAAAUCGGUCGACGACCUCCCCAUGGAGGGUGACAUGCCUGUAUGCCAAUUAAUAUUUUUUCCCCAACUCCAGAAAACCUGUUUUGAAGCUCCUCCAGCAUUCUGUCGAGAACUGGAAAGAAGAGCCUUGUGUAUGUUUGAAUUUUCAUGUUCUCGAAAAGAAUCCAAUGCACGCUUCCAGUUUGUGUAUCCUGAGGUGGUGAGGGUGUCCCUUUGAUCCCUUGAUUGCUUUGGUUUGCCAUAUAGUCUACAACUAAAGCAGAAUGCUGCAUUGGCAGUGGUAGAAUAUUCAACCCAUUUAAAAGUAUCAAACCAACUUGGUUGAAAUGAUCUCUUUUGCUGGCCAAACAUGCCGGAUGGAAAACAGUGAUGUCUCACUUGCCUUGGCCCUGUAUCUGCAGUCCCUAAAUCAGUUACCCAGUUACCCAUUGACUCUUGUCUGUUCUGAUGUUCCUGUUCAUUGUUGUUCUUAUCUGUUGUAUCUCCUUCUUGUGUGUCCCUUUCUCCUGUUCUCCUUUCUUCAUCCUCUACUAUUUUUGGCUCAUCUGUGAUGACUGUGUAGGUAAACACAAACAAGUAUUUAAAAUCAGUUUCCAGCUCUGUCAAAUAAAUGAAUUUCAAGAUACACAAAUUUGUCUUCAUUAAAAUGAGUGUCACCACACUGUCACAAAAUAUAAUACUAACCAAUUGAAAAUAGUUAAAUUGACAUUGGAAACCUCUUGUACAGUAGAUAUCACUGUUAGUAGUUAUCUGCCAAUAGGAGAGAAUCAUUCCUA